ACUUAUCUUUUAAUAAAUGACUUAGACAGUAUUUAUGGUUCAGUGGUUUAUUUUAUUUGGAUUCGUAUGGUUUUAUGAAUGUAAUAAAGUUUACGAAGUUUUAUGAGUUAAAAAUGAUUUCCGUCGGCUUGCGGUACCCUCGUGGUAGCGUUUUUAAAAGAAAAAAUAGGUUUCCGUGUGGGAAACGGAUUUAAAGAGGUUUUCUUGAUUUUCAUAACUUAGUGUUUCAAAAUGAGUUUCCGGGUAGAAAACAUUUUAAACUAAUAGAUGUGGAUAUGUAACUAUUUGUGAUGAAAUGGAUAUGAAUGUGAUGUAGUAUAUGUAUGUGGAUAUUCAUAUGUAUGUGGUUGUUUUUUGUACUUGUGCGACGCCGUGCAAAUACAGGGGAGACUCUGUCC
Molecule: long non-coding RNA, 398 nt
Filed under: Ananas comosus (pineapple)
Lineage: Eukaryota; Viridiplantae; Streptophyta; Magnoliopsida; Poales; Bromeliaceae
Description: long non-coding RNA (ACOM_LNC026684)
Source: RNAcentral